This 1445-nucleotide ribosomal RNA is filed under the name uncultured organism. RNAcentral describes it as "SSU rRNA". It matches the Rfam family "Bacterial small subunit ribosomal RNA". The record is from RNAcentral.
ACAGGCUUAACACAUGCAAGUCGAGGGGCAGCAUUUUAGUUUGCUUGCAAACUGAAGAUGGCGACCGGCGCACGGGUGAGUAACACGUAUCCAACCUGCCGAUAACUCCGGAAUAGCCUUUCGAAAGAAAGAUUAAUACCGGAUAGCAUACGAAUAUCGCAUGAUAUUUUUAUUAAAGAAUUUCGGUUAUCGAUGGGGAUGCGUUCCAUUAGUUUGUUGGCGGGGUAACGGCCCACCAAGACUACGAUGGAUAGGGGUUCUGAGAGGAAGGUCCCCCACAUUGGAACUGAGACGCGGUCCAAACUCCUACGGGAGGCAGCAGUGAGGAAUAUUGGUCAAUGGGCGAGAGCCUGAACCAGCCAAGUAGCGUGAAGGAUGAAGGCUCUAUGGGUCGUAAACUUCUUUUAUAUGGGAAUAAAGUUUUCCACGUGUGGAAUUUUGUAUGUACCAUAUGAAUAAGGAUCGGCUAACUCCGUGCCAGCAGCCGCGGUAAUACGGAGGAUCCGAGCGUUAUCCGGAUUUAUUGGGUUUAAAGGGAGCGUAGGUGGAUUGUUAAGUCAGUUGUGAAAGUUUGCGGCUCAACCGUAAAAUUGCAGUUGAAACUGGCAGUCUUGAGUACAGUAGAGGUGGGCGGAAUUCGUGGUGUAGCGGUGAAAUGCUUAGAUAUCACGAAGAACUCCGAUUGCGAAGGCAGCUCACUAGACUGUCACUGACACUGAUGCUCGAAAGUGUGGGUAUCAAACAGGAUUAGAUACCCUGGUAGUCCACACAGUAAACGAUGAAUACUCGCUGUUUGCGAUAUACAGUAAGCGGCCAAGCGAAAGCAUUAAGUAUUCCACCUGGGGAGUACGCCGGCAACGGUGAAACUCAAAGGAAUUGACGGGGGCCCGCACAAGCGGAGGAACAUGUGGUUUAAUUCGAUGAUACGCGAGGAACCUUACCCGGGCUUAAAUUGCAACAGAAUAUAUUGGAAACAGUAUAGCCGUAAGGCUGUUGUGAAGGUGCUGCAUGGUUGUCGUCAGCUCGUGCCGUGAGGUGUCGGCUUAAGUGCCAUAACGAGCGCAACCCUUAUCUUUAGUUACUAACAGGUUAUGCUGAGGACUCUAGAGAGACUGCCGUCGUAAGAUGUGAGGAAGGUGGGGAUGACGUCAAAUCAGCACGGCCCUUACGUCCGGGGCUACACACGUGUUACAAUGGGGGGUACAGAAGGCGGCUACCUGGUGACAGGAUGCUAAUCCCAAAAACCUCUCUCAGUUCGGAUCGAAGUCUGCAACCCGACUUCGUGAAGCUGGAUUCGCUAGUAAUCGCGCAUCAGCCAUGGCGCGGUGAAUACGUUCCCGGGCCUUGUACACACCGCCCGUCAAGCCAUGAAAGCCGGGGGUACCUGAAGUACGUAACCGCAAGGAGCGUCCUAGGGUAAAACUGGUAAUUGGGGCUAAGUAGUA